RNAcentral lists this ribosomal RNA (298 nucleotides) under Burkholderia multivorans. RNAcentral's name for it is "partial 23S ribosomal RNA". It matches the Rfam family "Bacterial large subunit ribosomal RNA", at positions 1 to 308 of the family's 2925-position model. The record is from RNAcentral. Lineage: Bacteria; Pseudomonadati; Pseudomonadota; Betaproteobacteria; Burkholderiales; Burkholderiaceae.
GGUCAAGCGAACAAGUGCAUGUGGUGGAUGCCUUGGCGAUCACAGGCGAUGAAGGACGCGGUAGCCUGCGAAAAGCCCCGGGGAGCUGGCAAACAAGCUUUGAUCCGGGGAUGUCCGAAUGGGGAAACCCACUCCUUAUGGAGUAUCCAUGACUGAAUACAUAGGUCAUGUGAAGCGAACGCGGUGAACUGAAACAUCUAAGUAACCGCAGGAAAAGAAAUCAACCGAGAUUCCCAAAGUAGUGGCGAGCGAAAUGGGAUGAGCCUUGUACUCUUUAUUUGUAUUGUUAGCCGAACGC